AGUAGUUUGAUCAUGGCUCAGAAUGAACGCUGGCGGCGUGCCUAACACAUGCAAGUCGAGCGAGAAAGUUCCUUCGGGAAUGAUAAGUGUAGAGUACACGAGCGGCGGACGGGUGAGUAACACGUGGGAAUCUACCCCAAACUGAGGGAUAAGCAUCGGAAACGGUGUCUAAUACCGCAUAUGGUCUUCGGAUUAAAGCUUCGGCGGUUUGGGAAGAGCCCGCGUAAGAUUAGCUAGUUGGUGAGGUAAUGGCCCACCAAGGCGACGAUCUUUAGCUGGUUUGAGAGGAUGAUCAGCCACACUGGAACUGAGACACGGUCCAGACUCCUACGGGAGGCAGCAGUUAGGAAUUUUCCACAAUGGGGCAACCCUGAUGGAGCAACGCCGCGUGCAGGAUGAAGGUUUUCGGAUUGUAAACUGCUUUUGUACGUGAAGAAUAUGACGGUAGCGUACGAAUAAGGAUCGGCUAACUCCGUG
Molecule: ribosomal RNA, 477 nt
Filed under: uncultured bacterium
Lineage: Bacteria
Description: bacterial SSU rRNA
Rfam family: Bacterial small subunit ribosomal RNA
Source: RNAcentral